GACGAACGCUGGCGGCGUGCUUAACACAUGCAAGUCGAACGGAAAGGCCCUGCUUGUGUGGGGUGCUCGAGUGGCGAACGGGUGAGUAACACGUGAGUAACCUGCCCUUGACUUUGGGAAAACUUCAGGAAACUGGGGCUAAUACCGGAUAGGAGCUCCUGCUGCAGGGAGGGGGCUGGAAAGUCUCGGCGGUUUGGGAUGGACUCGCGGCUUAUCAGCUCGUUGGUGGGGUAGUGGCCUACACAGGCAUUGCCCGGUACACGGCCUGAGAGGGUGACCGGCCACGAUGGAACUGCGAUACGGCCCAGACUCCUACGGGCCACAGGAGUGGGGUAUCUUGCACAAUGGGCGGAAGCCUGAUGCAGCACCGCCGCGUCCUCGAUGACGGCCUUCGGGUUGUAAACCGCUUUCGCCUCUGACGAAGCGUCAGUGGCGGUAAUCGGUAGCGAAGCACCCGCUAACUACGUA
RNAcentral lists this ribosomal RNA (468 nucleotides) under uncultured bacterium. RNAcentral's name for it is "partial 16S ribosomal RNA". It matches the Rfam family "Bacterial small subunit ribosomal RNA", at positions 28 to 507 of the family's 1533-position model. The record is from RNAcentral.